CCCGCCUUGUUUAACAAAAACAUGUCUUAUUGUAAAUUUAUAUUAAGUCUUGCCUGCUCAAUGAUAUUAUUUAUUAAAUAGCCGCAGUAUUUUGACUGUGCAAAGGUAGCAUAAUCAUUUGUCUUUUAAUUGUGGACUUGUAUGAAUGGUUUGAUGAGAUACUAGCUUUCUUUAUAUAAAAUUCAAUUAAUUUAAUUUCUUAGUUAAAAAGCUAAGAUAUUUUUAUAGGACGAGAAGACCCUAUAGAAUUUUAUUUAUAUUUAUAUAAAUAAUAUCUGGAUAUUUUUUAUUUUUAUAGAUUUAUAAAUUUUGUUGGGGUGACAGGGAAAUUUACAUAACUUUCUUUAUUUAUAUUUUAUUUAUAUAUAUAUUUAUGAUCCUAUUUUAAGGAUAUUAAGAUUAAAUUACCUUAGGGAUAACAGCGUAAUUUCUUUGGAGAGUUCUUAUCGAUAAUGAAGUUUGCGACCUCGAUGUUGGAUUAAAAUAAGUAUUAGGUGUAGGUGCUUAAUUUCUAGGCNGUUCGCCAUNGACAUUAAAAA
RNAcentral lists this ribosomal RNA (539 nucleotides) under Elasmostethus scotti. RNAcentral describes it as "partial 16S ribosomal RNA". It matches the Rfam family "Bacterial large subunit ribosomal RNA", at positions 1795 to 2602 of the family's 2925-position model. Lineage: Eukaryota; Metazoa; Arthropoda; Insecta; Hemiptera; Acanthosomatidae. The record is from RNAcentral.